Molecule: long non-coding RNA, 269 nt
Organism: Aquila chrysaetos chrysaetos
Lineage: Eukaryota; Metazoa; Chordata; Aves; Accipitriformes; Accipitridae
Exons: 2
Source: RefSeq, a predicted model, not a curated record
GUGGGCCUAUCGCGUGGCUCCGCCCCCGCCGGCGGCGCGCGCUCCGGGAGGGGGCGGGGCUCUGUCCCACGGUGCCGCGCAGGCGGGAGGAGCGGCCCGGUACGGCAAGGCCAGGUUCGGUUCGGUUCGGUACAGAUGGUACUCGCAUGACACACGGCGGCUUCCAGCCUGCACCGCAGAUAUGGAUUGAACUUUAGUCUCUGAGCAAUUAAGGUGCCUGAAACUGCACUUCAUUAAUGGUUGUUAUGCAAUAAAACCGAUAAAACUGC